Glycine soja is the source of this 887-nucleotide long non-coding RNA. RefSeq lists it as uncharacterized. The transcript has 3 exons. The record is from RefSeq and is a predicted model, not a curated record. Lineage: Eukaryota; Viridiplantae; Streptophyta; Magnoliopsida; Fabales; Fabaceae.
AGAGACGAAUAGCUGGCUACCGUUACUCUUCAACUAUUAGUAUGCUUGAAACUGGUUUGCUACCAGAGGACUAGCCUCAUUGAACCAUCACCCAUUGCAGCAAAAUGGCAUGUUCAGUUGAGACAUACUAGCACAAACAAGGCACCACCAAGGGCUAACUUCUGCACAACCCAAACAGUUAAAUAAGCCAAUUCAUUCGCAAAAAUCUCCAUUCACAUAGCUACCCGUUACAGCUACAACACCAUUUAUCACCUAAAUGUUCAGAAUACUGCAUUUAAUAUUUUACAGUGAUUUCAAUAUUUUGUUCCCUCAGCACUUCUAAUUCAUGGAAAAGGAUGACUCAAUUGCUUUACAUCUCCAGGCUUUAACAUUGGGUUGAACGGUUGAAGUGCUGGCCUGCUGAGAAUCCCUGGCGGAUGCAAAUGGGUAGAGUAUUUGUGCCAUGAUGAGGAAUAAUGCCCGUAAACUUGCUGAUAGAUGAAGAUGUGAAAUUUCAGUAACAAUCGAGAAUGAGAUAGAGCAACCAUGAACCAGAGUGGAGCUAGCUUAAGCAAAAGCAAAAGCAAAGUAACCAAGUCAAACAAGGUCAGAGUUUGUAUCAUUUAUUGUCAUGGUGUAAGACCAAGUUCCACGAGUUUGACACUUCACUGUAUAUGUGGAAUAUCCAUCCGCAGGAAUCCUUAAUGCUUCUCACGUGAAUAUAGGGUCUGGGAGAGUGUUUGAAUUAAUUAUGAUGCUUUGAUACAUGGGGUUGAAGCUAUUUAGCUACAAGCAGGGGCUAUGUUCAAUAGUUUGUUCCAUGAUGGGGCAAUGUCAUUAGUGCUUGUAAAUUCUGGUGAUCUUUGGAACUUCUUGUGCCAAAGACACUUUUAAUAAAAUAACUUUUU